This 496-nucleotide ribosomal RNA is filed under the name uncultured bacterium. RNAcentral describes it as "partial 16S ribosomal RNA". It matches the Rfam family "Bacterial small subunit ribosomal RNA", at positions 28 to 506 of the family's 1533-position model. The record is from RNAcentral.
GACGAACGCUGGCGGCGUGCCUAAUACAUGCAAGUCGAACGCUGAAGAGAGGAGCUUGCUCUUCUUGGAUGAGUUGCGAACGGGUGAGUAACGCGUAGGUAACCUGCCUUGUAGCGGGGGAUAACUAUUGGAGACGAUAGCUAAUACCGCAUAACAAUGGAUGACACAUGUCAUUUAUUUGAAAGGGGCAAUUGCUCCACUACAAGAUGGACCUGCGUUGUAUUAGCUAGUAGGUGAGGUAAUGGCUCACCUAGGCGACGAUACAUAGCCGACCUGAGAGGGUGAUCGGCCACACUGGGACUGAGACACGGCCCAGACUCCUACGGGAGGCAGCAGUAGGGAAUCUUCGGCAAUGGGGGCAACCCUGACCGAGCAACGCCGCGUGAGUGAAGAAGGUUUUCGGAUCGUAAAGCUCUGUUGUAAGUCAAGAACGGGUGUGAGAGUGGAAAGUUCACACUGUGACGGUAGCUUACCAGAAAGGGACGGCUAACUACGU